Molecule: non-coding RNA, 402 nt
Organism: Danio rerio (zebrafish)
Lineage: Eukaryota; Metazoa; Chordata; Actinopteri; Cypriniformes; Danionidae
Source: RefSeq, a predicted model, not a curated record
UAUCUAUUUUGUCUACAAAAUACUGUAUAUAAAACCUUAUUUAACUAAUUAUUACAGAUUUCUACAUUCUAGAGAAAGAAAUAUCACUAAAACCCGCCCCUCGUCUAUCUUUCAUUGUGUUGAUUACUGGAGUGAUAAUAAUGAUGAUAGCGUUUGCUGGUUUGAUCCUUUACUGUGUCUGCAAGAAUAGAAAAGGUGUCAAACAGGUGGAAGAUUCAAACUAUGAUGAUGUUGAGACUUUGCUGCAGAAGAUGACUGGAGACACAUGGAGCAGCGUUACCUACUUCACAGUAGGAAGAAAGCAAACAACUUAUAAAGCUGUCACACAACUCAGUUAAAGGCACAAUAUGUACGAUUAUUUUGGUAACACAUUCAACACAGGCUCAUUCUGAAACCGUAGCC